Molecule: ribosomal RNA, 235 nt
Filed under: uncultured bacterium
Lineage: Bacteria
Description: partial 16S ribosomal RNA
Rfam family: Bacterial small subunit ribosomal RNA
Source: RNAcentral
UGGCGGACGGGUGAGUAAUGUCUGGGAAACUGCCCGAUGGAGGGGGAUAACUACUGGAAACGGUAGCUAAUACCGCAUAACGUCGCAAGACCAAAGAGGGGGACCUUCGGGCCUCUUGCCAUCGGAUGUGCCCAGAUGGGAUUAGCUAGUAGGUGGGGUAACGGCUCACCUAGGCGACGAUCCCUAGCUGGUCUGGGAGGAUGACCAGCCACACUGGAACUGAGACACGGUCCAG